This 423-nucleotide ribosomal RNA is filed under the name uncultured bacterium. RNAcentral's name for it is "bacterial SSU rRNA". It matches the Rfam family "Bacterial small subunit ribosomal RNA", at positions 355 to 776 of the family's 1533-position model. The record is from RNAcentral.
UGGGGAAUCUUGCGCAAUGGCCGAAAGGCUGACGCAGCGACGCCGCGUGUGGGAGGAAGCUCUUCGGGGUGUAAACCACUGUUGCCCGGGACGAAACGCCGCUUUCGAGCGGCUUGACGGUACCGGGUGAGGAAGCACCGGCUAACUCUGUGCCAGCAGCCGCGGUAAUACAGAGGGUGCGAGCGUUGUCCGGAAUCACUGGGCGUAAAGGGCGCGUAGGCGGUCCAGUAAGCGUGUGGUGAAAGCCCGGGGCUCAACCCCGGGUCGGCCGUGCGAACUGCGGGACUCGAGCACUGUAGAGGCAGGCGGAAUUCCGGGUGUAGCGGUGGAAUGCGUAGAGAUCCGGAAGAACACCGGUGGCGAAGGCGGCCUGCUGGGCAGUAUAGCUGACGCUGAGGCGCGACAGCGUGGGGAGCAAACAGG